AAGAUGUUGAUAAGGAUGGAAGACGAAAGAGUGAGAAGUACAAGGAUGAGAGAAAUAGGGAGAAGUACCGAGAAGAUGUUGAUAGGGAUGGCAAGGAAAGAGAUGAGCAACUUGUUAGAGAUCACAUCAGCAGGUCAAAUGACAGAGAUUUGAGAGAUGAGAAGGAUGCAAUGGAUAUGCAUCAUAAGAGAAACAAGCCUCAAGAUAGUGAUCUUGAUAGAGAGGUAACCAAGGCCAAACG
RNAcentral lists this unclassified non-coding RNA (241 nucleotides) under Hevea brasiliensis (rubber tree). Lineage: Eukaryota; Viridiplantae; Streptophyta; Magnoliopsida; Malpighiales; Euphorbiaceae. The record is from RNAcentral.